GGUGCCGUGGCCGAGUGGUUAGGCAAAGGUCUGCAAAACCUUGUACGGCGGUUCGAAUCCGCCCGGCACCU
RNAcentral lists this transfer RNA (71 nucleotides) under Rhodothermaceae bacterium RA. It matches the Rfam family "tRNA". From Rfam's summary of the family: Transfer RNA (tRNA) molecules are approximately 80 nucleotides in length. Their secondary structure includes four short double-helical elements and three loops (D, anti-codon, and T loops). Lineage: Bacteria; Pseudomonadati; Rhodothermota; Rhodothermia; Rhodothermales; Rhodothermaceae. The record is from Rfam by way of RNAcentral. RNAcentral also lists the same sequence under 1 other name.